GUAUCCGGGAUCUCGCCACACUUCGCUAACUACGGCCGAGAAAUGAUCGUGUUCACCGAAAACUACAAGAUACAGGAUCUGAACGCUUCCAAGAAUCCUCAGGAAGAGCAGCAGAAACGAAUCAAAGCACUAUCAAAAGUACAUGACUUUGUAAGACAGCGAAUUCGAGAUGCUCACGAAAAAAGCAGGGCAAGGUACGACCUUCGAGCCCGAAAUAGGAGUUUCGAAGUUGGUCAACUAGUUUGGAGAAGAUCGUUUCAGCUUUCAUCGAAGUCAAAACAGGAAACGAAAAAACUGGGACCCAAAUUUGUUCCUUGUUUCGUAAGAGAACGGAUAGGCGCCAACAACUACCGAUUAGAAGAUGUCUCCAGCGACUACCAGGGUGUAUACCACGCCAAAGACAUCAAAUCGGAUUAAAAUCCUGUUCCAUUAUAUAAAUCAGCUACGUAAGAUGACAAUCCACACAGUCAGCCAACGAACAACAACAAAACACGCAAAGCGGCGAAUAAGACAAACCGUUAACCGAACGAGAAACAUCGGACUAAAUCAGCUACGUAAGAUGACAAUCCACACAGUCAGCCAACGAACAACAACAAAACACGCAAAGCGGCGAAUAAGACAAACCGUUAACCGAACGAGAAACAUCGGAUUAAAUCAGCUACGUAAGAUGACAAUCCACACAGUCAGCCAACGAACAACAACAAAACACGCAAAGCGGCGAAUAAGACAAACCGUUAACCGAACGAGAAACAUCGGACUAAAUCAGCUACGUAAGAUGACAAUCCACACAGUCAGCCAACGAACAACAACAAAACACGCAAAGCGGCGAAUAAGACAAACCGUUAACCGAACGAGAAACAUCGGACUAAAUCAGCUACGUAAGAUGACAAUCCACACAGUCAGCCAACGAAAAACAACAAAACACGCAAAGCGGCGAAUAAGACAAACCGUUAACCGAACGAGAAACAUCGGACUAAAUCAGCUAUGUAAGAUGACAAUCCACACAGUCAACCAACAAACAACAACAAAACACGCAAAGCGGCGAAGAAAUCAAACCGUCAACCGAACGAGAAACAUCGGAAAAUAAUCAGCUAUGUACGAAGGCAAAUAUAACAGCCAACCAACAAACAACACCAAAACACGCAAAGCGGCAAAGCAGACCCUCCGUUCAUCGAAACGUGAAAAACCGGUAACAACACAGCUAUGAACGAAGAUAACAUCAACCUACAAACAACUUCAAAACACGCAUAGCGGUAAGCAGACACUCCGGUCACCAAAAGAACAACUAGCAACAUCGAAACACGCAUAUCGGUAAACACGGUUAUUGAACGAGAAACAUCGGCAAACCACGCAGCUACGAAAGACGACAACCAAACAGUCAACCAACUAGCAACAUCAAAAUACGCACAGCGGCAAAGAAAUUAAACCGGUCACCGAGUGCUAAACAUCACAACAAGAAACAGCUAUGAACUACGGCAAAGUCAACGAACUACGUCGAGAACUAACAUCAACACCAAAAUACGCACAGCGGCUAAGAAACAAUCCUUCACCAAAAAACAAAACAUCAUUACACCACGCAGCUAUGAAUAAUGACUAAAGUCAACCAGCAACAUCCAGAACUACUAGCAACAUCAAAACACGCACAGCGGCCGAAGAAAACAAUCCAGUUCUUCGAACGUGUAACAUCGCUAGAACCACGAAGCUGUGAAAAACGACAAAGUCAACAAACUAUGCCUAGAACCACUAGCAGCAUAAAAUACGCCUCGCAGUACCAAAAAAUGCUCUUUGACAAAAAACAAAACAACAUCAAGCUUUACUAGAUUGCCAUACGUGUAAACAACUGUUAGUAAGCACCAAUCAUUCGAAAACACCAACAGGUAGAACAACCUGAAGUCGACACAGUUAUGAAUGAAGACAUCAGUCGCCGAACCAUGCUUGCGAAACAUCUGUCAAGCUAAAAAUACGCAGCGCGGUUAAGUAAAAAUACUUCAAGUUAAUCAAUGAACAAUAAUGUCAAUUGAAAAUUAUCGCUAAUCGGUCAAGACUCUAAGUCAUCAUAUCGCAAAAUUAAUGUUAAACAAAUCAAAAUCCAAGGCAAAAUAUUCCAUUCUUAUCAUGUCCAUAAUUCCUCACUGUAGUAUAAUCAGAUAUUGUAGUUCUAAAGCCAUAACAAUCAAACCCUCAACAAACAUACUCCACCAACCAUAACCUAAGCAAUAGCCACCCCAACGAAGAAUACAGAUGAAUGUUCUACGGAGAGAAGCAAAUGCAAUAGUACCUAUGAAGCACAUCUUCCAGAACUUAGCUGGAAUGCUGAUUGACACAGAAUGCAAUCAGUUCAAAUUUUAGUUCAAGUAUUAGCCCGAACAUAAGCUGCAAGCGCUAUGCAGUUUUGUGAGACACCAAGACACUCGUCGUAGCUGCAAAUUGCGGAAGGAUUUAUCGAGAGUGUAUUACUUAAGUUUUGAGUCUUCUUCCAAAGAACUACCAUCAUCAAGAAACCACACCCAAAAGCCACCAAACCAUAGCCCAAGACCAAAGAACCAUUCAACCACACCACAGAGAAAAAGCCGAACAGGAGAAGCAUAUACGUUAGCAGUAAGGAAAUUUUCCAGAGCAUAGCUGGAAGGCUGACAACGAGAUCAGCGAAGCUUAAGUUCAAGCAUUAGCACUAAGUUAAAUUGCAAAUUUUGCAAUUGUAAGAGAUAUCAAACACUCAUCGUAGCUGCAAAGAUCGCAGAGAAGAAUUUGUCGAGAGUGUAUUAGUUAAGAUAGAAACACUUCUCCUGUUAAAAGACCGAAACAUAACGCUGGUAAAAUUUUGUGAAUUUGUCAUAAAAAUUCACAAAAUUUUAAGAUAAAUUGUAGAUUGUGUUACAAUUAUUGACUGGGUCACAAAAAACCCAAAGUCUAAAAUCACAUAAAAUUUAGACGUACACGCCGACCGGUCUACCACAUAUCCAGUGACAUUGGACCAAACAGAAAAAGUGGGAAAAAAGCUUCACACGUUUUCCCGACGCGUCUUUCCAAAAGUUUGGAAAACGCUUAUUAAGAAAUUGUGGUCCGCAGCAACAACCCGUCAACACUCCGAGAUUCGGGAAUUCCGGAUAGUGCCAGGGGAAAGGAACCCCUUUGCGUCCGAAUCGACCCAGCGAAGAUCCGACGAGAUCCAGCACGAAGAGGCCUUCUGAAAAGAGGGCUUUUUUGUGGUGUGGCAUUUUCCACACACACGUGGAAUCGUCGCCGCGUUGGAUCAUCGCUUGCAGGAGAUACCGGUGUUGGAUCGCUUCAAGGGUGCUCACUGCCGAAGAGAAGUCAAUUCCGGCCAGCACUUGAGGGAGCUGUUCACCUCGAAGUGAACUGUGGUGACCCUCAGUGCGCAGCGACCAACACCACCGGAGCGGAUUGCACAUUACUUCAGGCACUAUUGCCUAGUACAUUUCAUUCCCCGGCCACUAGCGCCGCAGGGGAAAUCACCCCGGAGAACCAAAACCGGGUCAGCGGUUAUUUGUGUUCCGGCCACGAGCGCCGAAGGGAAUUUGAGUGCCGUUAUUUAAGUGCCGAUUAAGGUGCUGUUUUUUUUAUUUCGGCCACCAGCGCCAAGAGGGACGUUGCUCGUGUUCCGACCCCGAGCAAUGUCCAUAAGUGGAUGUCGGGUUUGUGAGUGCUGAUUGAGUGGCCAUUUGUUCAUCCGGCCCCCAGCGCCAAAAGGACCUUGCUCGUGAUCCGGCCCCGAGCAAAGGCCAGUGUUUGAUGCCGGGAAUUGCCGCCCAACAAGGCGUUUCAAGCUUGUGUUCCAGCCUCGAGCGCUGAAGGGAUUCUUGCGUCGUUUUCUUGCCGAGAAGAGGAGCGUGAUGUUCCGAGCGUGAACAUAUCACCAAAAACAUCAAGGUAAGCUUAAGGUUUAUGGUUUUUAUUCAUUAAUGGUUUGAUUCGCAUCUGACGCACUCUUUUCAUUUCGUGCACAGAUUGCAGAGCAGCAAGAUUGCUGCAAUUUAAAAAUUCCGGCAAGAGAUCU
Molecule: long non-coding RNA, 4018 nt
Organism: Uranotaenia lowii
Lineage: Eukaryota; Metazoa; Arthropoda; Insecta; Diptera; Culicidae
Exons: 3
Source: RefSeq, a predicted model, not a curated record